This 380-nucleotide ribosomal RNA is filed under the name uncultured eukaryote. Its description in RNAcentral is "partial 18S ribosomal RNA". It matches the Rfam family "Eukaryotic small subunit ribosomal RNA", at positions 592 to 976 of the family's 1831-position model. The record is from RNAcentral.
CAAUAGCGUAUAUUAAAGUUGUUGCGGUUAAAAAGCUCGUAGUUGGAGUUCUGCCAGGUGACACUCGUCCGCCCAAGUGGUGUGUACAGGGUGUGCAUCUGGCCCUUUCAAGGGGAACGUGUCUGCACUUCAUUGUGUGGUGCGAGAUCCUUGACUUUUACUUUGAGGAAAUAAGAGUGUUCCAAGCAGGCUCUCGUCGUGCAUAGCUCAGCAUGGAAUAAUAGCAUUGGACUUCGUUUCUACGCUGUUGGUUGCAAGAAGCGAGGUAAUGAUGAAGAGGGAUAGUUGGGGGCAUUCGUAUUUAACCGUCAGAGGUGAAAUUCUUGGAUUUGUUAAAGACGGACUACUGCGAAAGCAUCUGCCAUGGAUGUUUUCAUUGA